RNAcentral lists this signal recognition particle RNA (99 nucleotides) under Spirochaetaceae bacterium. RNAcentral describes it as "signal recognition particle sRNA small type". It matches the Rfam family "Bacterial small signal recognition particle RNA". From Rfam's summary of the family: The signal recognition particle (SRP) is a universally conserved ribonucleoprotein involved in the co-translational targeting of proteins to membranes. Archaeal SRP consists of a 7S RNA and homologues of the eukaryotic SRP19 and SRP54 proteins. In most bacteria, the SRP consists of a 4.5S RNA and the Ffh protein (a homologue of the eukaryotic SRP54 protein). The record is from RNAcentral. Lineage: Bacteria; Pseudomonadati; Spirochaetota; Spirochaetia; Spirochaetales; Spirochaetaceae.
UGGCAGGAACCAUGCGAGUUGCUGCCGGUGAACCCCGCCAGGUCCGGAAGGAAGCAACGGUAACUGGUAAGCGUUGCGCCGUGGACACUCCUGCCCGGA